UCCUGGCUCAGAGUGAACGCUGGCGGCGUGCCUAACACAUGCAAGUCGUGCGCGAAAGGGAGCAAUCCUGAGUAAAGCGGCGAACGGGUGAGUAACACGUGGCUAACCUGCCUGGAUGUGGGGGAUACCCCGGGGGAAACUCGGGACAAUACCGCAUGAUGUCUCUCGGGCGUCGGCCCGGGAGAGCAAAGCCGGGGACCGCAAGGCCUGGCGCAUCCGGAGGGGACCGCGGCCGAUUAGCUAGUUGGCGGGGUAAUGGCCCACCAAGGCGACGAUCGGUAGCCGGCCCGAGAGGGUGAUCGGCCACACCGGAGCUGAGACACGGUCCGGACUCCUUACGGGAGGCAGCAGUGGGGAAUUUUGCGCAAUGGGCGAAAGCCUGACGCAGCAACGCCGCGUGGAGGAUGAAGGUGCUCUGCAUUGUAAACUCCUGUCGGCCGGGAAGAAUCGGCGGGGUGCUAAUCAGCCCCGUCUUGACUGUACCGGCAAAGGAAGCCCCGGCUAACUCCGUG
Molecule: ribosomal RNA, 512 nt
Filed under: uncultured bacterium
Lineage: Bacteria
Description: bacterial SSU rRNA
Rfam family: Bacterial small subunit ribosomal RNA
Source: RNAcentral